This 1661-nucleotide long non-coding RNA is filed under the name Lactuca sativa (garden lettuce). RNAcentral's name for it is "long non-coding RNA (LSAT_LNC005600)". Lineage: Eukaryota; Viridiplantae; Streptophyta; Magnoliopsida; Asterales; Asteraceae. The record is from RNAcentral.
CACACGCAUCCCAAGAGGGCCACAACCCUCUUCUAUCUUUCUUCCUUCCCACGGGUUUCACAGUAACACCCAAAACACCUUAAGGUUUUGUUGCUGUUCUUCUUCUCCUUCACUUCCUAUCAAAUGAACCAACCAAACACCCCAUCGAUAUCUAUCCAAACAAAAGCAAACCAUAGCAAACAAACACCCCGAGAUUAUUGUAAUCUGUCUUCCUUCCCUGCAAUCAGAACCAUCCUAAAACAUCCACUUAGGUUUUAUCCACUACUGUGAAACAAUCAAAGAAAAAGAGAAGAAGCAAACCUGUUAUGAUCAGUGGAAGAGAGGAACCGAAGGUCGGCUAUUCCCUCCAUCUCUCCUUCCCGUCGAGUUGUUAACCAGCCAAACACCCCUGAAGACCAUUGAUGUUGCCGCUUCACCUAUCCCAUUCGAUCCAACUGUUUCCCCUCUCUCAUUCUCGCAACCUCCCCUCUUCCUUCUAUUUUUGAUGGCAGACUGAUCCAAUCACCGCCAAACCACCGCCAUGGCCAGUUGAUGCAACCCACGAUCAUAAACAGGCCCCUGUUGGCACAGUUCACUGGAGAAGAAGAAGCAGCGACCACCACCAUUUUUCCUUCCUGCUUUCAUUUAUUCGACUCUCAAACAGCUUCCAGUCGCCUUUUCCUUGCUUCUCCAUCAACCUCAGGUCGACUCCAAGUUUCCCGGUACAAAACCCGCUUAGAACACGAUCUUCCCGACACGUCCGACCCUCCCCGUCUGCUGCUGUCGCAGAGACAACCUCCGACCGCCACCGUUGCCGAUGAGCCUUAGCCACCCUCCGCCGCUAUCUCCGCUUGUUGUCAUUGCUAUGGAACCCCGAACGGCCAUCACUUGAUGAUACUGUGAGUAUUCGAUCGACCACCACCAUCAUGUAAUUUCUAUUAAUUGGAUGUCCAUACGACUGCUCCAGUCGGAAUCGUGAGACCUAGGUCGUGGUCUCGUCCCCAAAUUGUUUGAACUGCAAAAGAAAUUGCGACUGGUUUAGAAGAGGGAACUGUUCAAACUUCGAUUCCAUUUAUUUAAAUCUGACCCUGAAGAUGUUGAGUUCACGAGAUUGACCCCUCCUUUGGAUUAAUUCAAUUAUUAAGUCCAAAUUCCCUUUGGAUUUAUCCAGAAAUAGUCCCUCCACUAAGAAACCAUAACCAACCUAAUCCUGGAACCCCAAGUCAGCUUUAAAAUGUACAUUAUCAACCCCUGUCUUGAGAAUAAUUCUCAAUAUCAGUCCCUGAAGUAUGAUUUUGACAAAAUCAAACCCUAGAGUUUAUUUAUUCAAAGAAAGACCACCAUAUACUUAAUAAUUAAUACCAAAACUACCUUCUGGUUUAUUAGGAAACAUAAAUAUACUCGGUGGUUCGUUUUAAGAACGAGGAAUGACACGUAACAAAUCUUACGACAAGAUUCACACCUCAAGCCUCGUUCAUGCUACGAAUGUGAGUGCUUACGGCCCCUUUUUCAAUAUUUUAAUUAUNGGCCCUUUUUAAUAUUUUAGUUAUUGGGGGGGGAUACAUGUGCCUAUAUAUUUUGUUUAUACAAAUAUAUUAUCUUUCAUGCGGAAAUACAAUAAACAUAGUUUAUAAAAUAUUAUUAUUUAACAAUUUACCAUAUUGUUAAAAAUAAACUAUUGA